This 251-nucleotide ribosomal RNA is filed under the name uncultured Weissella sp. Its description in RNAcentral is "partial 16S ribosomal RNA". It matches the Rfam family "Bacterial small subunit ribosomal RNA", at positions 94 to 339 of the family's 1533-position model. Lineage: Bacteria; Bacillati; Bacillota; Bacilli; Lactobacillales; Lactobacillaceae. The record is from RNAcentral.
AGUGGCGAACGGGUGAGUAACACGUGGGAAACCUAUCUCUUAGCAGGGGAUAACAUUUGGAAACAGAUGCUAAUACCGUAUAACAAUAGCAACCGCAUGGUUGCUACUUAAAAGAUGGUUCUGCUAUCACUAAGAGAUGGUCCCGCGGUGCAUUAGUUAGUUGGUGAGGUAAUGGCUCACCAAGACGAUGAUGCAUAGCCGAGUUGAGAGACUGAUCGGCCACAUUGGGACUGAGACACGGCCCAUACUCC